Molecule: ribosomal RNA, 253 nt
Filed under: uncultured bacterium
Lineage: Bacteria
Description: partial 16S ribosomal RNA
Rfam family: Bacterial small subunit ribosomal RNA
Source: RNAcentral
UACGUAGGGGGCAAGCGUUGUCCGGAAUCAUUGGGCGUAAAGAGCGUGUAGGCGGCCCGAUAAGUCCGCCGUGAAAGUCCAGGGCUCAACCCUGGAAUGCCGGUGGAAACUGUCGGGCUCGAGUCCGGAAGAGGCGAGUGGAAUUCCUGGUGUAGCGGUGAAAUGCGCAGAUAUCAGGAGGAACACCGGUGGCGAAAGCGGCGCACUGGACCAUAACUGACGCUGAGGCGCGAAAGCGUGGGGAGCAAACAGG